CAACAGGGAUUGCCCCAGUAACGGCGAGUGAAGCGGCAACAGCUCAAAUUUGAAAUCUGGCUCUCGGGCCCGAGUUGUAAUUUGUAGAGGAUGCUUUUGGUGAGGUGCCUUCCGAGUUCCCUGGAACGGGACGCCAUAGAGGGUGAGAGCCCCGUCUGGUUGGACACCGAUCCUCUGUAAAGCUCCUUCGACGAGUCGAGUAGUUUGGGAAUGCUGCUCUAAAUGGGAGGUAUAUGUCUUCUAAAGCUAAAUACCGGCCAGAGACCGAUAGCGCACAAGUAGAGUGAUCGAAAGAUGAAAAGAACUUUGAAAAGAGAGUUAAACAGUACGUGAAAUUGUUGAAAGGGAAGCGCUUGUGACCAGACUUGGGCUUGGUUGAUCAUCCGGGGUUCUCCCCGGUGCACUCUUCCGGCCCAGGCCAGCAUCAGUUCGCCCUGGGGGACAAAGGCUUCGGGAAUGUGGCUCUCUCCGGGGAGUGUUAU
RNAcentral lists this ribosomal RNA (482 nucleotides) under Fusarium solani. Its description in RNAcentral is "eukaryotic LSU rRNA". It matches the Rfam family "Eukaryotic large subunit ribosomal RNA", at positions 66 to 559 of the family's 3401-position model. Lineage: Eukaryota; Fungi; Ascomycota; Sordariomycetes; Hypocreales; Nectriaceae. RNAcentral also lists the same sequence under 9 other names. The record is from RNAcentral.